GACGAACGCUGGCGGCGUGCCUAAUACAUGCAAGUCGAGCGGACGAAUCGAAAGCUUGCUUUUGAUUCGUUAGCGGCGGACGGGUGAGUAACACGUGGGCAACCUGCCCUGUAGACGGGGAUAACACCGAGGAAUCGGUGCUAAUACCGGAUAACACGAAAUGUCGCAUGACGUUUCGUUGAAAGACGGCGCAAGCUGUCGCUACAGGAUGGGCCCGCGGCGCAUUAGCUAGUUGGUGAGGUAACGGCUCACCAAGGCGACGAUGCGUAGCCGACCUGAGAGGGUGAUCGGCCACACUGGGACUGAGACACGGCCCAGACUCCUACGGGAGGCAGCAGUAGGGAAUCUUCCGCAAUGGACGAAAGUCUGACGGAGCAACGCCGCGUGAGCGAAGAAGGCCUUCGGGUCGUAAAGCUCUGUUGUUAGGGAAGAACAAGUAACGCAGUAACUGGCGUUACCGUGACGGUACCUAACGAGAAAGCCACGGCUAACUACGUG
This 498-nucleotide ribosomal RNA is filed under the name uncultured bacterium. RNAcentral describes it as "partial 16S ribosomal RNA". It matches the Rfam family "Bacterial small subunit ribosomal RNA", at positions 28 to 507 of the family's 1533-position model. The record is from RNAcentral.